RNAcentral lists this transfer RNA (65 nucleotides) under Trogonoptera brookiana. RNAcentral's name for it is "trnA-Pro". The record is from RNAcentral. Lineage: Eukaryota; Metazoa; Arthropoda; Insecta; Lepidoptera; Papilionidae. RNAcentral also lists the same sequence under 1 other name.
CAAAGAAUAUUUUAAUAAAAAUAAUAAUUUUGGAGAUUAUAGAUAAAGAAAUUCUUUUUCUUUGA